UAGCGCGACUCUCUCGCUUUCGCUAUCUUUUCCUCUCACUUUCUCUCUCCCUCUCCAUCUCCAUCUCCGCCGUCUCGUCUCUCCCUCUCCCGUCCUCGAUCUCUCUCUCCCAUACUCUCUCGAUCUCUCUCCCUUCCUCUCCCUACCCCUCUCGAUCUCCCGCCCCCGCACGACUCCCCUCUCUCUCUCUCUCUCUCUCUCUCUCUCUCUCUCCCACACGACUCCACCUUCUUCUUGGCAGUGCAAGAGCUCGAAGAGCUUGAUCAGCCUCCAUCGAGAUCGAGAGACAAAGUUAUUGGGCAUUUGGAAGGAAAGCGCUAGGGUGCCUCUAUCGAUAACAUGCUCACAUGGAACUUCUGAUUCCCAUCGAUCUCUCUGUACAAAUCAUCGGAUCAACGUAAAAUGGAGAAAAUCGAUAUCUCCUGCUUCUUUUGGAUUAUACAGAGGAUUAGGGUUUUCAUGUUGGGACCUCGAGCACAACAUCCAGGGAUGCUAACACUGUAAUGAUGUUAUGGAAUUUGUACUUCAAAACUUCACAGAGAUGAAUAAACUUUGGGUCCGAAUGCAUCAUCAGGUUAGUUGAAAUUUUAGAGAACUAUCGCUAUUGUGUUUGGGCACAAACAGUAAGUGCAUGCCAUAAAUGAAAAACUGGAGCAUGGGGGUUUGUGAAGGGAAGAUGCAGUGCAGUUUGAAUUUCAUGCUAUUCUACAUGUUUGACGAAAUUCCUCAACCAGACUCUGUUUCUCACCAAUGAAUGAUACCAGCUCCAAGUUGAUUUCCCCAAGCAUUACCUCAUGGAAGCACCUCAAGAGUAGCUGAAUAAUUUUUAAGACCUACGACAAUCCACUCAAAUAU
Long non-coding RNA from Magnolia sinica, 855 nucleotides. RefSeq lists it as uncharacterized. The transcript has 3 exons. The record is from RefSeq and is a predicted model, not a curated record. NCBI's taxonomy places the organism in Eukaryota, Viridiplantae, Streptophyta, Magnoliopsida, Magnoliales, Magnoliaceae.